GGGUCCCCGGGGGCGACGCAAGCCGGCAGGGUCGGCAAAGGUUAAUUAAAUGCCCCCCACACACCCACACCAAAGGAAAAGGACCCUCCUGAGCAUCCCCAGACUGUUUGAUCAGAGGAAAUUGAGUUUGUCUUUUGCCCCUUCACCCUUCCCGUGUCAUCCAUCAGGACUGUGGGCUGGGGGGCGGGGGGGUGCAUAAAGUCGGGCUGGGCAGAGGAAACGCGAUCGGGUCCUUCCCUGCGUAGCCGCAGAGGACGUGGGCGCGCACGGGGCCCGGUCCGCGGCGGCGACUGCUCCGCGUUUUAGCUCGCGCCCGGCCGCGGCGGCGAGGGCGGGGUGUGCGGGGCCGGAGCCGAGCGCCUCACUCACACUGCAGCCCGCGCACCCGGCAGCCCCGGGACCGGGACGGCGAGCACCUCGGGGACGCCCGUGCUCCGCGGGCCGCAGCCUCGCCCGCCACCGACGCUGACGCCGCCGCGCACCGCGCACCGCAGCCCCGAGAGGACCGCACCGCCGAGUCCGCGCCCCCGGCCGAGAUGACAACUCCUCCCUGUGUUCUCAGAUGAUGGAAGGAUCAGGGGCUUUGUCUAAAAAGGCACUAAUCCCACUCACGAAGGCCCCACCCUCAUGACCUAAUCACCUGCCCAGGCCCGCACCUUCCAAUGCCAUCUCCUCGAUGAUGAGUUUCAGCAAAUGAGCACACACAGUGAGACCAUACUAGGCCAGCAGAAUAUGCUAAAAUACAAGAUAAACAACUAAACCAGGAGUCUGGCCCCGCUACAGGACAAUUGUCCCAACCCUUCAAAAAGUCAGUAUCAUUGAAAGAAAAAUGGAGAUGCCACUCUAGACUAAAAAGACAAAAGAGACUGAGCAACCCAAUGCAGAUGUAUGAGUUUGAUUGGAUCCUGCCCACCUGGAUGCACACUGGAGGAGAUACACUGGACCCUUGACUUACGAACUCGUUUGGUUCCUGAGGGCUGGUUAUAACUCAGUCAAGACAGCUGAGAUCUGGAUGUUUAUCUGGGUACACACUAUAGAUAACAAGAGGC
RNAcentral lists this long non-coding RNA (1049 nucleotides) under Heterocephalus glaber (naked mole-rat). RNAcentral's name for it is "lncRNA (ENSHGLG00000039137.1)". The record is from RNAcentral. Lineage: Eukaryota; Metazoa; Chordata; Mammalia; Rodentia; Bathyergidae.